Molecule: ribosomal RNA, 371 nt
Filed under: uncultured bacterium
Lineage: Bacteria
Description: bacterial SSU rRNA
Rfam family: Bacterial small subunit ribosomal RNA
Source: RNAcentral
AGUGAACGUUGGCGGCGUGGAUUAGGCAUGCAAGUCGAGCGAUCGUAGCAAUACGGGAGCGGCAAACGGGGUAGGAAUACAUCGGAACGUACCCUUUGGUCAGGGAUAGUGUUGGGAAACUGACGGUAAUACCUGAUAAAGUCGAGAGACCAAAGGUUUACUGCCGGAGGAGCGGCCGAUGCGAUAUUAGGUAGUUGGUGGGGUAAUGGCCUACCAAGCCUGAGAUGUCUAGGGGGUGUGAGAGCAUGGGCCCCCACCACUGGGACGUGAGAAACUAGCCCACGACACCUACCGGGUGGGCUGCAGUCGAGGAUCUUCGUCAAUAGGGCGGAAAGACCUGAACGAAGCGACGCCGCGUGCGGGAGUGAAGG